This 237-nucleotide long non-coding RNA is filed under the name Elaeis guineensis (African oil palm). RNAcentral describes it as "long non-coding RNA (EGUI_LNC048087)". Lineage: Eukaryota; Viridiplantae; Streptophyta; Magnoliopsida; Arecales; Arecaceae. The record is from RNAcentral.
GUAAGAUAUAAUAAAGAACUUAUCAUACCUCUAUAAAGUUUUGAAUCAACAGACUUACCAUGUUCAUCUUUAUCUAAUUUAUAGGAAAGGAUCAUAGUAGUACUUACACUCUUGGAGCUCUCCAUCCCAAAUUCUUUAAUAAUUCUCUUGUAUACUUGCUUUGGAUAAUGGAGAUCCCUUCCUUCAUUUGCUUGAUCUGGAGUUUGAAGAAGAAGGUAAGUUCUCCCAUCAUGCUCA